Molecule: long non-coding RNA, 6492 nt
Organism: Varanus komodoensis (Komodo dragon)
Lineage: Eukaryota; Metazoa; Chordata; Lepidosauria; Squamata; Varanidae
Exons: 2
Source: RefSeq, a predicted model, not a curated record
CAUUGACUUUUAAUUUGCCAGUGUCCUCAUGCGGGCCAGUCAGGGUCAGCCAUCGGGCCGGAUGUGGCCUGCAGGCCAUACAGUGCCCAGGUCUGGUAUAGUGUUUAGAGGCUGAUUAGUUUUAUAGAUGUUUGAAUUGUUUCAACAAACCUAGCUUUGCUUGAGCUGGUAUAACCCUUCACUUAAUACAGUGAAGCCUUUGAGCAAAGCUGUCAGAGCUUUGAAUGUAUGGUUUCUGCUCUUUCUGAGUGAAAUCACAAUCAUUGAAACAAUAGCUUUUAGGGGAACUAUAACUCUAUCUAAUACAACUUGAUUCCCUGAGCUGUCUUUCAGGAAAACCUUUUGUCUUGUCUGGAUUAAGCUUCAACUUUUUUGCCUUUACUCAGUCCACUACUGACAUUGCAUGAUGAUUAGAAUACUUUGCUUGGAUGUCAUCAGUAUACUGGUGACACCAAAUCCCAAAACUGCAUCUCCCAUGUUCACAUAGAUGUUAUGAGAGAACAAGAUGGAACCCUGAGGGAUAUCACAAGCCAAUGGACUUUCAAACAGGAAUAUCUUUUGAAUUAUCUUCUCCAGGAAGAAUGGGAACCACCAUAAAAAAGUGCUUCCCAGCCUAUCCUGAAGAAGUAGCUUAGGAGAAGAGUAGGCAAUCUUGUGCCUUUGGGUGCCAGUGCACUUCAGGUAUUUUUUUGGUGUCUGCCAAGGUGUCCUAUGGCUUCUUACCAUUUUCUUACCAGCAGUUAGGAUUACUUGUACUCAGCCAUUUUAGGCACAUUGCUCAUUUUGAAUUACUAGCCAUGCCAACCACAGGAGCCAUUUUGUGGUGGGGCCUAGGGCAGUUCUUCAAGUUAUUAAAAGCUAACAUGAGGUCUAGCAAAAGUAACAGGGACAUACCUCCUCUGCCCACUUCCUGGUAUGAAUGGCCUACAGAGGUGACUUUUAACCAGGCCAGAAGCCAGACUGAAAUAGAGAGGAAGGAUAUUUUCCUGAGUUCUCAAAUCACGUUGGAUAUACAACCUUAGAGAUUCCAAAAGUCUUGAAAUGUAGUGCCUAGUAUAAAUAUCUUCUCCCUCAAGGGGAGAGGAAGCCCCAACUUUUACCCAUUUUCAAAUCCCUGUCCAAACUUCCCGGUCAAGUCCUGCUUAAAUUUCUGUUUUCAAAGAAACCUCCAUCUUUGACAGUUGUGAAAGACAAGUAUUAGCAAAAGUGUGUGUGUGUGUGGGGGGGGGGGGCAUUUUCCCAUAUGCCCAGGUCCUGAAACUGGGUGGAAAAGUAAUGGGAACUGGGUUGGGGGGUGUACAUUCAGAACUGUAAGGUUCUUGCCUCAAAGGGGGUGGUCUACUGGCCACUCCCUUUUGUGAACAAGAAGUUUUGCUUUGACCAGAGUGCUCACCUUUUGACAGCUGUCAGGGGAAAACAAAUUGGGGGAAAAACUAUUUGGAGUCUUUCUGAGUAAAAGUCAGUUGGUACUUGCUGCACUUUAACAAGUACCCCACCACCACCAGCAGAGACAUUGCCCAGACAAGGUUUCCCACUUUGGACCCAUGGAACUAAACUAAAAUAAUUCUCUUUGUAUUUACUGGAAAAUGUGCAUAUUUGAUCCUCAAAGAAGUAAUUAUAAAAAGUAGCCAACAAAUGACUACCUGUCCAGUAUAUAACUUGGGUACUUUGGAGUGACUAAAGAGUAAAAGAAAAAAAAAAUCUGCAGUCAACAAAAUGUGCUUGCACUUAUGGCAGGGUGGCACCAAGUUAGUUACAGUCAUGCCCAAGUGUUGCUUUAGCACUUCUUGGAUUGCUGUCGCUGGUGGUGGCCCAGGCAAACUUGGAAAGAACGACAAGGUGCUUUUGCUGCUCCUGUCAGUCACCCAGAUUCAGAUGGCAUAGCAAACUAUUAUGGAUGCAAUAACCCUGACAACAUUCCAUGAGGGAUCAGGCUGGCUUGUUACCCAUGAACAAGCCACCUGUUGGAAAUGGUCCAGAUUUGCACAAUAGGACACCCCACCAUGGCUUGUCAAUUCAUAAGCAGUAUUGUACAUUACAUCUAAAUUUGUUCAGGAAAUUUUAAAACUCAGAUUAAGUUAGUGCAAGGGUGGCUUCAUAGCUGAAGCAUUUUAGUAAGUAUCCAGAGGAAAUGCGGAAUGUAUCUUCAAUAAAGAAACUACAGCUAUGGAGGAAAUUAGCUGUAACUUCCAGAUAAGCUGUUGAAAGUGUGUGUUUCUUCAGAAACAUAUAUUGUUUGUUGCAUAUUGCUAGAAAUUGUGGCUAAUCUCUAUAGCAGUGUUUGGAAACUUUAUUUCUACCCACCCUUCCCUUCAUUGUCCCAAAUCUACUUUCCAUCUCAUUCCAUCCCAUCAUAAUUGGGAACAUUUUACAGUAGUAAUGAGCUUGGCAAGCACAAGGCCUCUGCUUCUUGCCAGAGUAAAACCUACAAAUAAGGAAAACAACAGCAUCUCCCUAGCUUCUCUCUCCACCCUUUAAAGUGAGGCGGCUGGCACCGCUGUACCCAUGCUGCAAGAAGGAUAGAAUGUCCUGCCUGCAGCUUCACACAGAUGGCCUGGAAUUGGUCCACAUUGAGCAACAGAGUGGAGUGUCACUCACUGACCAUCCUUCUGUUUGUGAUUAAACAGGGAAGACAGUGUGUCUAAUUUUCCUUUCCUGAUUUCAGAAUGUACUGGUGUGUGUUGUUCAUCAAGAAAAAUUCUACACCGAACGAAUCUUCUAGAAAAGAAUCUGAGGGAGAGCCAAUGUAUUACAGACUUGUAAAAAUCCUGUAUUUUCCAGUUUCAUCUGAAUUGGAAGUUCAAAUUAUGAAGACCCAAGAGACUGUGUGUAUUAUUUUAACUGGAGAGGAAAAGCUAUCUCUGUUCCUGUUCAGACUAUCUGCAGGCAUGCAAAGAAGCUGAAUCACUGGUGGAUGACAGUCUCUUUAUUUUUAAACUUAAAUGACAGCGAUAAUAUGUUGAGCUUUAAACAGAAGAAUGAGAUGUGUUGGCAUUUUGGCCUCUUUGAUACUGGACAGAUGUCAUAUGAGUUGGAUCCAACUGUAACAGUCUGCUGGCAGAAUGGAAAACACUAGCAGAACGGAUUCCCCUUUCCUCUUGUAGCUUCAGUGUACACACCCAGAAUCUUCUCUGGAGGUCAGCGGACCUUAGGAGAAGAUUUGGGGUAUGCAUUGAAGGGGGAAAGGGGAAGACAAGGAAGUUGGAUCCAACCCUACAGGGGUUGGAUGCACUUUGGUGUGCAUGGCACUCAGAAGUUGCUUGAGGCUUCCAUCUUGCUGUGUGAUAACAGCUAAAACAAAAACUUGUCUGCAGUGAAUACUCAGCUGUCCUUUUACAAAGGUUCACAUCAAGCAUCCAUCCAAGUAGCUGCUUGCUAUAUUAGCAGCUACUGCAUGAUAGUGCAUUUUAUUUUUUCUGUUUUCUUAAAUAGCCCAUGAAAGAUAAACUGAAUGGGAAUUGGAUAAUAGCUAGUUCUGAUGUUAGAAAUAGUCUUUUAGAACCCAUGUUAGGCACUUCUUUCUUUAUUCUAUUAAACAUAUGAGGGAAGUCUUUCUUUUCCUCAUGUCAUUAUGUUUUGCUGGAUAGCCUGCAUAUGAUAGGAUGAAGGAUAGGAUGAAGAAGUGGAACACUCUAAAUAUGGUAGUAUAAGGAUAUUAUGCAUCCAUUCAAGCAAAAACUGUUGUUAUUUAUGUAUUCUUUGCUGGGAAUUGCAAAAAGCAUUAGGAUUAUGACACAAACUUGUAAAAAAGAAGCAAAUGUAGGUGGCUUAGUUAUGUCAAACAUAUUUUCAGUGAGACACAGGCAAUCUGAUUUCUUUAGAGGAUAGAACAAAAAAAAAAUCAUAUCAACUGAUUCCAAAACUCAUUUUUAAAAUAAAGUGUAGCAACUUUUCCAUCACUUACUAUUGUCCUGAUAAUGGAGAGUGGAAAACAACCGAGCAAUAAUAAUUACCAUGAUUAAAGAUUUAGUGAACUUGUAAUGUCUGGCUUCAUAUCAUAGCCGGGCCACAGAUCCACUGGUUGGAUUUGGACAUGCUUUCUUAGUCUCAAUUUUGUAUCAUAUAAAAGGUAUAUUAUCCUCUUUGACAGGCAUGUUGUGAAGUCAAACAAACAUAGCCAUUAAAAGCAUGGGAUGCUUUAAAAUGGCCGGGCACUUAUACAUUUCAUAAUUGCUGGGUUACAGAGUUGGGGUGGGCAACCUGGCUAUCCAGAUGUUCUGGAGUGUAGCUCCCAUAAGCAUUAGCCAGCAAGGCAGCAUAGUCAGUGGCAGGAAUGAUGGGAAUAGUACACCAAAUUGUCUAGAGUGUCACAAUCUAGAGAGAGACUGUUGCUUCAGAGGCACAAGUAAGUGGCAAAUUUUAUUUCAAAGAGCUCUUGUGCUCUGACAUUUUUGCAAUGCUGUAGAUGUACCACAAAGAAUAUACUUCAUAGAAUCCAGAUGGUGGCUGUAAUUGCUUUGUGUGCAUUGUUUUCAUGGACUGAUGUAACUAAGUCAGGUGAAAGAAGGAUUUUCGCCUUUUACUGCAGAUGUCUGUUUCAAGAUACAUAUAAUGGUCUCAAGUCAAAUUAUCAAUUGUGUUAAAAAAUAUGACUAACAUUUCUUUAUUUUCAGGAAUGGAUAAGGCUUAGUGGUGUAUGGUGGCAUUUAAAGCCACAUAUACAUGCUUUGUUUUCUGGCCUUAGUGCAAUUCAGCAACACUACCUCAAUUCAUCAGUGCCCAUAUUGUCUGUGAAUUUCUUCUGCCACUUUCUGAUUUUACUUGACAAUGUGCACACAUCCUGGCAAAUUCUGGUUAGUGCUUUCUUCAAGUUAUUUUUUUACAGAAUUAUCUGACAGCAAUUCAGAGGCAGUGUGUUAAUAAUUCCUUUUAAUAAGAAAUGUGGUGGCCUCAUGCUAGUCAGGAGAGUUAAGUUCUGGAAAUCAUCCAUGGAAAUUGUAGAUGAAGCAUAGGAUAAUUGGUGGAAUUUGGUAGAAUUAUGGAAGAAUAAUUGUGUAGCAAACAAGCAAAAGAAAGGAAAAGAGUUGGCUCCAGAUGGACAAAUUUCUCUGUGUCCAGUAAGAACAAAAACAAACAAAAGGAGAGGAAAGGUUUCCUUCUCCUACUUCAACAAGAGGAAAGAGGAACUCUGACAGUAUGGGAGAAGGGAUAUAAUUGCCAACCUCACUGUACGGCUCGGGUUUGCUGAGUAUCUUCAGCCAGCCCUUGAAGCUCCCACUAUUUUGUUGUACUCAAGUUCAGAAUUUAUGAACAGUGCAAGGGUGUCCCUGCUUAUGUUGCACUGUUGAGGUUUGCAGCUCACCCAUGUUGUUCUCCUCCUCCUCUGUCCUCAUGUUGUCUUAAAGGUGUUACUUGAUGGCAUCCGUUCAUUUCCUGUUAAGUCUUCCUUUUCACCAAAACCUCCGUUUCAGAAUAACAGGUAGAUAGAUAGAAAUUGCUGCUACAAUCACUUACGAAUUAGUCACUUUUGAGAAGGGCUAUAUGAUUUUUUUCUACCACACCUGUAAUGCCUUGGUUUUUUUUUUCUCUUGCUUGCCUGGACAAACAUGGAAGGGAAAUGAGCCAUAGCAGUGUUUUAUUUUUCCUUGGUAAAUCAUUGUCCUCACUAAUUAAUCUUGCUACCGUUUAAAAAUGUUUUAUUGCUGUUUGAGAAAUCCUGUUCCAUAAUCCUUUACAUUUAUCUGCAUGAAGUUGCAUAUAAUGGAGAUUCUUCAAUAAGAAUUGGUCUUGUAGACCAGGAAUGUACACCAUAACUAUAGGUUAAUUGCACGCUUCCUCUUGGCUAUUUGCAUCCCCCCAGGGUAUUUUGAAAUACACAUAGUAGCUCAUUCCCACCUCUUCAGUGGAGCAUUUGCAGUUGAUAGAAGCUCAUCAAGAGUGGGACUGGAAACAGUAAAAUAGGGAAAACAAUAAAAUUUAUUCAAAAAAAAAGUGGGAUUGGAAGAGUGUCUGUUUUGUGUCUUGUGUUGCUCUUUCUCUUCCUACCCAGCCAUAUUAUAUUGCCUCUUUUAUCUGCAGCUUUCAUUAUCUGAAUUGAUGGGAGAAUGGAAAACUGACUGAGUAGGUGCCAUGGGCAGAUGCAGAAAUCAGAAGUAAGAAGGAAGGGGAAAAUAAUGAGUUGAAGAGCAGAGAGUUCUUUGGUACAAAGAAUGAGUGUUGUGGAGUGAAUAGAGGGAGAAAACUAGGGAGAACUCACAAAUAUGUUUUGUGGAGGUAAGCAGUAAAAUAGCCAGAUUUAUGAAAGUUAUUAAAUUAGGCACCUUGAGACGUACUGCUGCAUGGCUCCUUCCUUUGCUGUUGGGGAAAUGUGAAGAGCCAGUGAGGAAACAAGUGCUGGUUCUUCCACAUGGCCCUAGGCUUCUCAUAUUACCUCAGCUUCUCACAUAACAGAAGAUGGCCCAUUAGGUAGAAAUCCAAAGCAGACUGCAGAAAGUUCUGGACUGGAUGAAUAAGCCAAUGAGAUUCAGUAAGUAACUAUAACAUGAUGCACUC